RNAcentral lists this ribosomal RNA (292 nucleotides) under uncultured bacterium. RNAcentral describes it as "partial 16S ribosomal RNA". It matches the Rfam family "Bacterial small subunit ribosomal RNA", at positions 505 to 796 of the family's 1533-position model. The record is from RNAcentral.
GUGUCAGCAGCCGCGGUAAAACGUAGGACGCAAACGUUAUCCGGAAUUACUGGGCGUAAAGAGCGUGUAGGCGGUUUGGUAAGUCAACCGUGAAAGCUCCCGGCUAAACUGGGAGAGGUCGGCUGAGACUGCCAGACUAGAGGGUGUUAGAGGGAUGCGGAAUUCCGGGUGUAGUGGUGAAAUGCGUAGAGAUCCGGAGGAACACCAGAGGCGAAGGCGGCAUCCUGGGACAAACCUGACGCUGAGACGCGAAAGCAUGGGGAGCGAACGGGAUUAGAAACCCCCGUAGUCC